CGAACAGUUGUGCUUGCCCUUUGACCUCUGAGCACGGCGCAGGCGCAGAAGGCUGGGAGCCAGUGGCUGUCACGGUGAAAAGUGCGCGAAUGAAUGUGUUCCCGCGAGAACCAGGGGACAGAGAGAGACCCAGGGCUUCCAGCUGUCAGGCAGUCUCCGCAGAAGCUUCAGAGCAGGCCGUGAGCGAGGAGGCCCUGCCCGACCGCGUCCACACUGCAGAGCUGUACAGCUUGCUGUGGGGCUGAGGCCCAGGCUUUGUGUGACGUCCACGGCUGACAGCGAUGAGUCACCAGGGAAAGACCCACAUUGCAGGCUGCUGGAGGCUUCUGCUGAGUUCCUGAGGCCGCCGAGCUGCACACAAACUUGCCGGA
RNAcentral lists this long non-coding RNA (371 nucleotides) under Chinchilla lanigera (long-tailed chinchilla). Its description in RNAcentral is "lncRNA (ENSCLAG00000028694.1)". Lineage: Eukaryota; Metazoa; Chordata; Mammalia; Rodentia; Chinchillidae. The record is from RNAcentral.